RNAcentral lists this small RNA (109 nucleotides) under Vibrio mytili. RNAcentral's name for it is "Qrr RNA". It matches the Rfam family "Qrr RNA". Rfam says of the family: This family represents a set of small RNAs (the Qrr RNAs) that are thought to be involved in the regulation of quorum sensing in Vibrio species. It is believed that these RNAs, guided by a protein, Hfq, can mediate the destabilisation of the quorum-sensing master regulators LuxR/HapR mRNAs. The record is from RNAcentral. Lineage: Bacteria; Pseudomonadati; Pseudomonadota; Gammaproteobacteria; Vibrionales; Vibrionaceae.
UGACCCUUAUUAAGCCGAGGGUCACCUAGCCAACUGACGUUGUUAGUGAAUACAUUUUGUUCACAUUUAUCUAUCGCCAAUCACGUUUAUUGUGAUUGGCGUUUUUUCU